Molecule: RNA transcript, 2063 nt
Organism: Carassius auratus (goldfish)
Lineage: Eukaryota; Metazoa; Chordata; Actinopteri; Cypriniformes; Cyprinidae
Exons: 5
Source: RefSeq, a predicted model, not a curated record
AAGACUUGCUAGUAAUGACAAGCAGUAACAAAAUGUCAUGUUUAUUUUACAGGAAAUGACAUCAGAAGACCACCAUUUCCUCUUCAGUUCUUUGUAUGGUGUAGAAAAGGUAAUUAUCAUCCUUCUGAUAGUUCACUAAGGAAACAUUAUACAUUCACAAAUAUAAUACAGUUGUCAUACCUGUGGGUAUUUUACGGCCUGGACCAUGUGACCACUAAGCCACUCCUCGUUAGUAUAGUGGUAAGUAUCCCCGCCUGUCACGCUGAUCAGUGCUAAACCACUACGGAUGUAAUAUACUUUCGGCCGCUGGCGCUCUCGUGGCGCUCUUCCGUGUUUGUGCACAAGCGCGGAGUUUGAAAUCGCCAUUUUCAUUCCGCCUCGGAGAGUGAAAUACAAAGAUCUGCCUCGCUCGUUUUAAUCAGCACAUCUAUCAAAGAUCAAGAUGCAGAAGAAAGUGCUGUUCUUCCCAGGGAGAAUCUGUGUUGUGUUCCGCAAGGGACCACUCGGGUUUCUCCUCCAGGAGCCAUCUAAAGAAGCCAGACGUAUUAAGGAUGACCCCACUCUGCAGGACAAGUCUGCGCCCAUGAGAGAGGACCUUGUGCGGCAGAAUGCUCGGUCUUUGGUCAGUCAGAGAGGAGGGGAUGUCUCUGACAGGAAGGAGGUCCUGGGAGAAUACAUACUGCAAUUUGGAAAGUAUAAAGGGAAGUCCUUUAGAUGGCUUUUAGAGAAUGAUGUAGGGUACACUAUGUAUCUCAUCAAGAACCUUCAGAAGGAGGAGGCAUCCGGCAUCCCUGUGGCUGAGGGGCAUGGCAAGGACAGUCUACUGUCAUUUGUUAAUUAUGCCCUAAGUUUUGAAGAGAUCCAGUCUCUUCUCACCUAUGAGGCCAGUGGAGUGGGUGUUGUGGCAGCCUCAUCAGAAGAUGACCAGCUGGUUGGCUUUGGUUCCCGGGCCAAGAGCACCUGGAAGGAGAUUUGGGAUAGCAGAGCUGAUGGCUACGCAGACUUCAUCAUGAAGAAGAGCUGUGUCCAAGGGACACGCAUGUACAAGCUCCAGCAAUACCUGCAGAAGAAGCAGCAAUCUGCCACUGCUUCCAUACCUGCUAAACAUACCCCAAGGGCCCCAGCAAAACCUAUUGUGAUGGAUGAUGAUGAAGAGCUGGAGAGAGCGAUGUUGAGCAUCUCACCCUCUAAGCUACAAGUGCAGAGCUUUGCUGUGCCAGCAGCAGUAGCAGCAGCUGCCAUACCCAGAGUGUCACCAGGAGCAAAGACAGGUUUUUAAAUAAGAGGUUUCAGGACUGGAGUAAGAUGAAUUGCCCUCCAAAACUGAAACUCGACUUAAACUGUUAUGUUGUUUGCGUUCUGGCCAUGCUCCGGCCAUGUUCCUCCAACAAUAUGGUUGUAUGCUGGCAUUAUACUAACUGUCCUAAGGACUAUGAAUUCCAACCACGAUGAUGGUAAGUGUGCAUUUUUCUUCUGCAUUCAUGUUGUUUUAAGGUACUAACACUUGAAUGCAUGCUUGUUCAUUGUCAUAUUGCUCCUCCUGCUUAGACUAGUGAGUAGUGUUUAGAAUGGUAUAUCUGCAGGAAUUCAAUUACAUUUUAAAUAAUUUAUUAACAAUUAAGAUGGUGUCAAGGCACAUUACAGAGUGAAUCCCUCUUAACAUUAGAUUAAUUCAUAUACAUAACAUAUAUUGAGGGAUAGGUAGAGAAAAAUAAUAUGGCAAUGUCAAUAAUGGCAUACAUUUAUAUUACAGGUACAUAGGUUUGUUACACAGUAUAUAAUUGUACCAUAAACAUUUGUGAAAUUAUGAUAAGCAGGAGAAAGAGACAUAUGGCUGUUUGAAUUCCUACUGUACUACUACUAUACUACUAACAUAUAUUGCGAAUUUUGAAGUGACUGAUGAUUUUGUCUCUUAUAGUUCCAUCAUUGUCCAACCCAACUCCUUAUACAAGUGCUGAAUUGCAGGCAUCACCAGUUGAUGCUCCAACCUCUCCAAGCAUAAAGAGGAAGACACCUGUGCCCCUUCCAGCAGAACUGACGUUCCUAGUAAAGGAGAAAACGGG